UACGUAGGGGGCGAGCGUUGUCCGGAAUUAUUGGGCGUAAAGGGUUCGUAGGCGGUUAAAUAAGUCAGGUGUGAAAGCCAUAGGCUCAACCUAUGUAAGCACUUGAAACUGUAUAACUUGAGUUAAGGAGAGGAAAGUGGAAUUCCUAGUGUAGCGGUGAAAUGCGUAGAUAUUGGGAAGAACACCAGUGGCGAAGGCGACUUGCUGGGCAGCAACUGACGCUGAGGCGCGAAAGCCAGGGGAGCAAACGGGAUUAGAUACCCCGGUAGUCCCUGAGCGGGCU
RNAcentral lists this ribosomal RNA (283 nucleotides) under uncultured prokaryote. RNAcentral's name for it is "partial 16S ribosomal RNA". It matches the Rfam family "Bacterial small subunit ribosomal RNA", at positions 524 to 805 of the family's 1533-position model. The record is from RNAcentral.